CAGUCGCCGCGGUAAUACGUAGGUGGCAAGCGUUGUCCGGAAUUAUUGGGCGUAAAGGGCUCGCAGGCGGUUUCUUAAGUCUGAUGUGAAAGCCCCCGGCUCAACCGGGGAGGGUCAUUGGAAACUGGGAAACUUGAGUGCAGAAGAGGAGAGUGGAAUUCCACGUGUAGCGGUGAAAUGCGUAGAGAUGUGGAGGAACACCAGUGGCGAAGGCGACUCUCUGGUCUGUAACUGACGCUGAGGAGCGAGAGCGUGGGGAGUGAACAGGAUUAGAUACCCGGGUAGUCCCUGUCUCUUAUAC
Molecule: ribosomal RNA, 301 nt
Filed under: uncultured bacterium
Lineage: Bacteria
Description: partial 16S ribosomal RNA
Rfam family: Bacterial small subunit ribosomal RNA
Source: RNAcentral